This 468-nucleotide ribosomal RNA is filed under the name uncultured bacterium. Its description in RNAcentral is "partial 16S ribosomal RNA". It matches the Rfam family "Bacterial small subunit ribosomal RNA", at positions 29 to 507 of the family's 1533-position model. The record is from RNAcentral.
ACGAACGCUGGCGGCGUGCUUCACCCCUGCCAGUCGAACGAUGAAGCCUUAGCUUGCUUUGGUGGAUUAGUGGCGAACGGGUGAGUAACACGUGAGCAACGUGCCCAGGACUCUGGAAUAACCGCGGGAAACCGUGGCUAAUACCGGAUAGGUGCCGAGGCCGCAUGGUCUUCGGUUGGAAAGUUUUUGCGGUUCUGGAUCGGCUCACGGCCUAUCAGCUUGUUGGUGGGGUAAUGGCCUACCAAGGCGACGACGGGUAGCCGGCCUGAGAGGGUGACCGGCCACACUGGGACUGAGACACGGCCCAGACUCCUACGGGAGGCAGCAGUGGGGAAUAUUGCACAAUGGGCGCAAGCCUGAUGCAGCAACGCCGCGUGGGGGAUGACGGCCUUCGGGUUGUAAACCUCUUUUAGUAGGGAAGAAGCGCAAGUGACGGUACCUGCAGAAAAAGCACCGGCUAACUACGUG